RNAcentral lists this ribosomal RNA (440 nucleotides) under uncultured bacterium. RNAcentral describes it as "partial 16S ribosomal RNA". It matches the Rfam family "Bacterial small subunit ribosomal RNA", at positions 338 to 795 of the family's 1533-position model. The record is from RNAcentral.
CCUACGGGAGGCAGCAGUGGGGAAUAUUGCACAAUGGGGGAAACCCUGAUGCAGCGACGCCGCGUGAGUGAAGAAGUAAUUCGUUAUGUAAAGCUCUAUCAGCAGGGAAGAAACUGCAGGUACCUGAGUAAGAAGCCCCGGCUAACUACGUGACAGCAGCCGAGGUAAUACGUAGGGGGCAAGCGUUAUCCGGAUUUACUGGGUGUAAAGGGAGCGUAGACGGUGCGCCGAGUCUGGAGUGAAAGGCCGCAGCUUAACUGCGGAACUGCGGUGGAUAGUGGCGAACUGGAGUGCGGGAGGGGUGAGCGGAAUUCCUGGUGUAGCGGUGAAAUGCGUAGAUAUUAGGAGGAACACCGGUGGCGAAGGCGGCUUACUGGACCGUAACUGACGUUGAGGCUCGAAAGCGUGGGGAGCAAACAGGAUUAGAUACCCCAGUAGUC